GAAUAUCUGGCUCUCCGAGCCAAAAUACCUAAGGCGCUUUGGGGCUAUGGUUUUUGGCCGUUAGGGUGCGCUGGGAAACCGGCGUGCCUUCCAUUGCGAAAAGGAGAGCUGAGCCGGGUAAA
This 122-nucleotide non-coding RNA is filed under the name Desulfofundulus australicus. RNAcentral describes it as "Desulfotomaculum australicum MoCo sequence". It matches the Rfam family "Molybdenum/Tungsten riboswitch aptamer (Moco RNA motif)". Lineage: Bacteria; Bacillati; Bacillota; Clostridia; Eubacteriales; Peptococcaceae. The record is from RNAcentral.